UGGGGAAUAUUGCACAAUGGGCGAAAGCCUGAUGCAGCGACGCCGCGUGAGCGAAGAAGUAUUUCGGUAUGUAAAGCUCUAUCAGCAGGGAAGAAAAUGACGGUACCUGACUAAGAAGCCCCGGCUAACUACGUGCCAGCAGCCGCGGUAAUACGUAGGGGGCAAGCGUUAUCCGGAUUUACUGGGUGUAAAGGGAGCGUAGACGGCAUAGUAAGUUUGAAGUGAAAACCUGUGGCUCAACCAUAGGACUGCUUUGAAAACUACUAAGCUAGAGUGUCGGAGAGGUAAGUGGAAUUCCUAGUGUAGCGGUGAAAUGCGUAGAUAUUAGGAGGAACACCAGUGGCGAAGGCGGCUUACUGGACGAUAACUGACGUUGAGGCUCGAAAGCGUGGGGAGCAAACAGGAUUAGAUACCCGUGUAGUCC
RNAcentral lists this ribosomal RNA (424 nucleotides) under uncultured bacterium. RNAcentral describes it as "bacterial SSU rRNA". It matches the Rfam family "Bacterial small subunit ribosomal RNA", at positions 355 to 796 of the family's 1533-position model. The record is from RNAcentral.